Carassius auratus (goldfish) is the source of this 678-nucleotide non-coding RNA. The record is from the annotation of a RefSeq genome assembly. NCBI's taxonomy places the organism in Eukaryota, Metazoa, Chordata, Actinopteri, Cypriniformes, Cyprinidae.
GUGAGUUUGAGAAUCUGAACAACAGCAACCAUGAGCUUCAUCACCAUCUUCAUCUGGAUCUUCACCAGCUACUGUUUCACAGAAUCAGCAGCUGGAGUGACAGUCACUCAGACGCCUGCAGAGAAACCUGUUCAACCAGGAGACAAAGUUACCAUGUCCUGUAAAACCAGUCCUGAAGUUUACCAGGGUUGGAGUGCUCAGCCUUUACACUGGUACUUACAGAAACCUGGAGAAGCUCCUAAACUCCUGAUUUAUGCUGCAAACCGUCUCCAGUCAGGAACUCCAUCUAGAUUCAGUGGCAGUGGAUCUAACAGUGAUUUCACUCUGACCAUCAGUGGAGUCCAGACUGAAGAUGCUGGACAUUAUUACUGUCAGAGUUACCACAGUGGUGGUGUGUUCACACAGUGAUAAAGCGUGGUACAAAAACCUGUGUCAGUCAGAGUCACAGUGACUGAACUGAUGCUGCAGCUGCUCAAAGGAGGAUCUGAAACUCUGUUGUUUUUGCUCUUUUUCCUCAUAUUCUGACUCUCUGUAGGGAGUUUUGAUUUGAUGCAUUGUGCGGAGUCAAUUAUUCCGCUUAUACUACGGUAACCACACCUCAAGACAUUGAUCUGAUGAUUCGUUUAAAGAGAUUUAUCCGGUUUUUGUACUUAAAUCGCUAUUGUGAGUAGGACACAU